Molecule: ribosomal RNA, 778 nt
Filed under: uncultured Neocallimastigales
Lineage: Eukaryota; Fungi; Neocallimastigomycota; Neocallimastigomycetes; Neocallimastigales
Description: partial large subunit ribosomal RNA
Rfam family: Eukaryotic large subunit ribosomal RNA
Source: RNAcentral
UAUCUCUGUAGAGUCUGCAUAUCAAUAAGCGGAGGAAAAGAAACUAACUAGGAUUCCCUCAGUAACGGCGAGUGAAGCGGGAAGAGCUCAAAUUUGAAAUCUUCAAGGUUCUACCUUGACGAAUUGUAGUUUAAAGAAGUGUUUUCUGUUGGAGUUUUGGUAAAAGUUCUUUGGAAUAGGACAUCAUAGAGGGUGAGAAUCCCGUAUUUGACCAGUUAUUUUCCAGCUGUCGUGAUACACUUUCAAAGAGUCGGAUUGUUUGGGAAUGCAGUCCAAAAUGGGUGGUAAAUUUCAUCUAAAGCUAAAUAUUGGCGAGAGACCGAUAGCGAACAAGUACCGUGAGGGAAAGAUGAAAAGAACUUUGAAAAGAGAGUUAAACAGUACGUGAAAUUGUCAAAAGGGAAGCGUUUGACACCAGUGUUGUUUUCUCGAAAAUCAAUUAAAAAAGUCAGGAUUUUGUAUUGUAUUGACUUUAUCAGCUUUCUGCACUCUUUUCUUGUCUUUUUUUAAUGCACUUUUCGUUUAACAAGUCAACAUCAAUUUCUUUUGUUGUAAAAGGGUCAUUGGAAGGUGGCUUUCUUUUCGGAGAAAGUGUUUAUAGCCUUUGGCCUCUGCAAUCGGAGGGAUUGAGGUCUGCAGCGUAGAUCCUUCGGGGUUAGAUACAUUUGUGCUAAGUUAUAGCCUUUCAUAGACAACUUGUUGACUAUGAUCAGUCAUGUAGCUUACCCGCUUAUGCUAUUUUACCUACGCUUAGGAUGUUGAAGAUGUAGCACAUCAU